This is an RNA transcript of Mustela erminea (ermine), 1774 nucleotides long. RefSeq lists it as uncharacterized. NCBI's taxonomy places the organism in Eukaryota, Metazoa, Chordata, Mammalia, Carnivora, Mustelidae. The record is from RefSeq and is a predicted model, not a curated record. The transcript has 3 exons.
CCAUGGACCCGGGCCACUGUCCUGCUAUUGUAUUUGUGUGGCCAACUUUUCUUCUGUCUCAUUCACUCUCCCCGGCCCCUUCGAUCCCAGGCAACAACACCCACUGCCAAGGAAGAGAGAAGAAAAGGAGAGCCCGUAGCAUCUGGGCUGGAUUAAAUCACGAAGCACAAAAGCGUCCAGGCGAUUGGAAGCCAGCAUUCUGGGAGAAGGACCACAGCCCUCACGUUGUUUCUGGUCUCCUGGCGGAUCACUUCCUCAAACAGGUUAUGAGCACUUCUGAACUCAAUUCACACCCAGCACACAGCAGAUACAUCUGGUCCUACAUGAAAUGUGGGCACACUGGAGAGUAUAGAAAGCAAAACUUCUUGAGCAAGUAGCCCCAGAGCUUUCUGACAAUACGUUGUAUCCAGUGAACUCUCAGGAAACUAGCAGGGAACUUUCUGGAAUGCAGCUACCAUUUUGUGACCAUGACCUCAAAAAUAGAUGCAAUCUUACAGAGAAGAAAAGUUAUCCUUUAUGCUUACCUUCUGCACCAUCCACCAUCCAUGAACUGGGCACAGAACGGAAGAAGAGGGAAAGAAACACAAAUCCCAUCCAUUCUUUUAAGAGCACACUCUGGGGAUUUUACACAUCACUGUGCAUACUCUGUUAACCAGGACUUAGCUUGUGGCCAAAAUCAGCUACAAAGGAAUCUUGGAAAUGUGGUCUAGCUCUACAUCCAUGUGGCUGGCUAAAAAUUCUAUUACUAAUGCAGGAUAAGAAGAUUGGAUUUGGAGGGUAGAACUAGUAAUCUGUAUAUAUUUUUUUUCUUUUUCCCUUUUCAAUUUCUGACAGCAAAAUAAGAUUUUGCUGAUAAUGAACUCAAAAGCCAAAUAUUGUUGAGAAAGAAAGGAUAUCAAACUUUAUCUCUUUCUCGAGCGAAGCAAGAACCAGGCCUAAAGGACUUACAUCAACUUAAUUUUUCCUAGAAUAGAGCAGGUUACCCUUUCGGUUAGGAGGUCGAGACCUGUCCUUCUACUACUGGUAGUAAAUUAUAUAAGGCAAGAAAAAGAAAAGGCUGAUACUUUUAUGGUAUAGGACAUGGUGAGGGACACAGAGAGUACAGAGUGGAAGGUAUGAAUGUCCAGGCUGUCCCCUGAAAGAAGGAGCUUCAGAAGACCGUGGGUAACACAGGAAACAGAGGGAGGCUCGUGGCUCUACCCCCAUGUCCCGACUUUCCCCCCUAGGCUCUGGGAAAAGGUUUUCUUAAAGACUUCUGUGUGUUAGUCCAGUGUCAUUGGUGCAGUAUGAUUUCAGAGAGAAGACUUGAGUUAAGCUAUCUGGGUUUCCCUUAGCUGCUUUAUGUUGUGAGUACUGAAUUGAAAAUCAGUAGAUAGGCCAUGGGGCCGGCCAUGGCUGGGCCAGGUGACCCACACAAUAGCUGAGGGCACAGGUUGGCCCGAAGGAAGGAAGUAGACACGACGCAGGAAGCCAAGUUGAGGCUGAGUAAACCAACUCCAUCCGCGCCGACAGAGGGACCACCGGAGUGUGCUUAUAGUCUUUUGAAAUCUCAUGAAAAGAAAAUACAAUUAGAAUUUUCCCCCAGACUUUCUCCCAACCGUGCAAGAGAAAAGAGAUUUUAAAACAAACAAACAAAUAAAUGAAACAUUUGUUCUCAAGAAAGGUAUACUGUAGUUUCCUAUAAUACAUUAUAUGCACCAAGCCUGAACCCUUGCCAAACAUUUAUGAAGAAAAGACAGGAAAGAUUCCACCCACCUUCUGGUCGAACUCUUGC